Molecule: ribosomal RNA, 301 nt
Filed under: uncultured bacterium
Lineage: Bacteria
Description: partial 16S ribosomal RNA
Rfam family: Bacterial small subunit ribosomal RNA
Source: RNAcentral
CAGUAGCCGCGGUAAUACGUAGGUGGCAAGCGUUGUCCGGAAUUAUUGGGCGUAAAGGGCUCGCAGGCGGUUUCUUAAGUCUGAUGUGAAAGCCCCCGGCUCAACCGGGGAGGGUCAUUGGAAACUGGGAAGCUUGAGUGCAGAAGAGGAGAGUGGAAUUCCACGUGUAGCGGUGAAAUGCGUAGAGAUGUGGAGGAACACCAGUGGCGAAGGCGACUCUCUGGUCUGUAACUGACGCUGAGGAGCGAAAGCGUGGGGAGCGAACAGGAUUAGAUACCCCGGUAGUCCCUGUCUCUUAUAC